Non-coding RNA from Pelobates cultripes (western spadefoot toad), 208 nucleotides. The record is from the annotation of a GenBank genome assembly. Lineage: Eukaryota; Metazoa; Chordata; Amphibia; Anura; Pelobatidae.
CUAAGGACUGUCCCCUAGCACUCGCUGGUCCACUUGUCUCCUUACCUUCUUACUAGCAGGCAGAAGCUCCUGGUAUAUGGUCUGGGACAGAGAAAAGCUGUAUGUAGUGAGUGUAGAAGAAAGGGAACAUGCCACAGUGUUAGAGAGACCAAAGUCAGCAUUACCUUAACUAAUUUCAUUGUCAGCCAGUCCACACAAGUUUUGUUCC